AGCUCCAAUAGCGUAUAUUAAAGUUGCUGCAGUUAAAAAGCUCGUAGUUGGAUUUGUGGCGCGGCCGUCCGGCGGGGCUCCUUCAUUGGGGCCGUUUGUCUGGUUUUUCGGCCGCUCCAUUCUCGGGUAGUGUGUCGCUGGCAUUAGGUUGUCGGCUUCUUCACGCCCGUCGUUUACUGUGAAAAAAUUAGAGUGUUCAAAGCAGGCUUAGGCCAUUGGAUACAUUAGCAUGGAAUAAUGAGAUAGGGCCACGACGGUCUAUUUUGUUGGUUUGCACGUUGUGGUAAUGAUUAACAGGAACGGUUGGGGGUAUUCGUAUUCAAUUGUCAGAGGUGAAAUUCUUGGAUUUAUGGAAGACGAACUACUGCGAAAGCAUUUACCAAGGAUGUUUUCAUUGAUC
This 400-nucleotide ribosomal RNA is filed under the name phytoplankton environmental sample. Its description in RNAcentral is "partial small subunit ribosomal RNA". It matches the Rfam family "Eukaryotic small subunit ribosomal RNA", at positions 587 to 978 of the family's 1831-position model. The record is from RNAcentral.